UACGAAGGGGGCUAGCGUUGUUCGGAAUCACUGGGCGUAAAGGGCGCGUAGGCGGGCAUGUAAGUCAGGGGUGAAAUCCCGGGGCUCAACCUCGGAACUGCCUUUGAUACUGGAUGUCUUGAGUCCGGAAGAGGUGAGUGGAACUGCGAGUGUAGAGGUGAAAUUCGUAGAUAUUCGCAAGAACACCGGUGGCGAAGGCGGCUCACUGGUCCGGAACUGACGCUGAGGCACGACAGCGUGGGGAGCAAACAGG
This 253-nucleotide ribosomal RNA is filed under the name uncultured bacterium. Its description in RNAcentral is "partial 16S ribosomal RNA". It matches the Rfam family "Bacterial small subunit ribosomal RNA", at positions 524 to 776 of the family's 1533-position model. The record is from RNAcentral.